This 24-nucleotide non-coding RNA is filed under the name Arabidopsis thaliana (thale cress). The record is from RNAcentral. Lineage: Eukaryota; Viridiplantae; Streptophyta; Magnoliopsida; Brassicales; Brassicaceae.
UAAAGCGUUGUCCACUCAGCAGCA